CUGCAAGCAUUACAGAAAAGCGAAAAUCACUAAGCCUCUAAACAUCCCUAAUAGCUGGCACCAGGCUGUUUGCUUCAUCCCCAACCUAUGCAUAUGUAUGUUCUACCUUUGUGACACAGGAUGCAAAGUAGGUAAUACUGGGAACAGGCAUCUCCAAGGAGGUUGCUGUGUACUGGACAUUGCAGGAGGAUGGACUUGAGCUAGGCUUUAGCCACAGGCUGGUUUCUAGUCCUUCAGUGGUUCUCCACCCUCCUCACUCCAUAUAGUUCAGUGCAGUUUAAAGAGAAUGGAACAGGUUGGUCUUUACCAGGUUAUGCUUGAGCUGACUGCUUCAAGAGGAGCAAGCACAUGAGAGAGACAGGAAAUGUAGCACCUGCUACAAUACCCAGAAAAAGAAGCCACAUUUUUUGUGAGCCUGAUAGUCUCCUGCACCUUAUGAGAAAAGCUACAUCACACUGCUAUGAAAAAAAAUGGCUUAGAGAGGUGUGGAACCAUCCUACACAUGAAGAAUAUUUUUUACAUCUUCACUGGGGCCAGCACUCUGUCUGGCAGUGCCCAUAGUGAAUACCUAGCAUGAGCUGGACAUGUGGAGCAGAGCCUGAUCUGUCUGAAGCUCAGAGUACUCAUGCCUACCUCCCUACUUUGUUGCAGUAUUGCUAUGGCAACCAGCUUCUAUAAAAAGAU
RNAcentral lists this long non-coding RNA (684 nucleotides) under Coturnix japonica (Japanese quail). Its description in RNAcentral is "lncRNA (ENSCJPG00005016117.1)". The record is from RNAcentral. Lineage: Eukaryota; Metazoa; Chordata; Aves; Galliformes; Phasianidae.